This 253-nucleotide ribosomal RNA is filed under the name uncultured bacterium. RNAcentral's name for it is "partial 16S ribosomal RNA". It matches the Rfam family "Bacterial small subunit ribosomal RNA", at positions 524 to 776 of the family's 1533-position model. The record is from RNAcentral.
UACGUAGGGUGCGAGCGUUAAUCGGAAUUACUGGGCGUAAAGUGUGCGCAGGCGGCCGAGCAAGUCGAGUGUGAAAGCCCCGAGCUUAACUUGGGAACUGCGCUCGAAACUACUUGGCUAGAGUGUGGCAGAGGGAGAUGGAAUUCCAGGUGUAGCGGUGAAAUGCGUAGAGAUGUGGAGGAACACCGAUGGCGAAGGCAGCCUCCUGGGCCAACACUGACGCUCAUGCACGAAAGCGUGGGGAGCAAACAGG